GAUUUCUGGUACGGUGCGCCUGACCCACUGUCGAAAGGCGUGUGAAGUGUCGGAGUGCGUCUGCCAUCCUUCUAGGAAUUUUGUCGCACUUCACUGGGUGGCAAAUGAACUAGAUCUUUUACUUUGAAAAAAUUAGAGUGUUUAAAGCAGGCUAGCGCCUUGAAUACAUUAGCAUGGAAUAAUAAUUUAGGACUUUGUUUCUAUUUUGUUGGUUUCUAGGAAUGAAGUAAUGAUUGAUAGGGACAGUUGGGGGUGCUAGUAUUCAUCGGCCAGAGGUGAAAUUCUUGGAUUCGAUGAAGACUAACUUAUGCGAAAGCAUU
RNAcentral lists this ribosomal RNA (320 nucleotides) under uncultured Paracercomonas. RNAcentral describes it as "SSU rRNA". The stretch from base 60 to 320 matches the Rfam family "Eukaryotic small subunit ribosomal RNA", at positions 693 to 955 of the family's 1831-position model. Lineage: Eukaryota; Cercozoa; Cercomonadida; Cercomonadidae. The record is from RNAcentral.